RNAcentral lists this transfer RNA (76 nucleotides) under Comamonas sp. Its description in RNAcentral is "tRNA-Lys". It matches the Rfam family "tRNA". Rfam says of the family: Transfer RNA (tRNA) molecules are approximately 80 nucleotides in length. Their secondary structure includes four short double-helical elements and three loops (D, anti-codon, and T loops). The record is from RNAcentral. RNAcentral also lists the same sequence under 6 other names. Lineage: Bacteria; Pseudomonadati; Pseudomonadota; Betaproteobacteria; Burkholderiales; Comamonadaceae.
GGGUUCUUAGCUCAGCUGGUAGAGCAGCGGACUCUUAAUCCGUAGGUCGAGUGUUCGAAUCACUCAGGACCCACCA